UACAGAGGAGCCAAGCGUUGUCCGGAUUGACUGGGCGUAAAGCGCACGCAGGCGGCAUCGCGCGUGGGGUGUGAAAUCUGGCCGCUUAACGGCCAGGCGCCAUCCCAUACGGCGAGGCUGGAGCGAUGCAGAGGUCGGUGGAAUUCCUGGUGUAGCGGUGGAAUGCGCAGAUAUCAGGAGGAACACCGGUGGCGAAGGCGGGUCUCUGGGCAGUAACUGACGCUGAGGAGCGAAAGCGUGGGGAGCGAACAGG
RNAcentral lists this ribosomal RNA (253 nucleotides) under uncultured bacterium. Its description in RNAcentral is "partial 16S ribosomal RNA". It matches the Rfam family "Bacterial small subunit ribosomal RNA", at positions 524 to 776 of the family's 1533-position model. The record is from RNAcentral.